AUACGGAGGGUGCAAGCGUUGUUCGGAAUCACUGGGCGUAAAGGGCGCGCAGGCGGUUUUACAAGUCAGAUGUGAAAGCCCACGGCUCAACCGUGGAAGUGCAUUUGAAACUGUAAGACUCGAGUAUCAGAGGGGAAGGUGGAAUUCCCGGUGUAGAGGUGAAAUUCGUAGAUAUCGGGAGGAAUACCGGUGGCGAAGGCGACUUUCUGGCUGAAUACUGACGCUGAGGCGCGAAAGCGUGGGGAGCAAACAGGAUUAGAAACCCCAGUAGUCC
RNAcentral lists this ribosomal RNA (274 nucleotides) under uncultured bacterium. RNAcentral's name for it is "partial 16S ribosomal RNA". It matches the Rfam family "Bacterial small subunit ribosomal RNA", at positions 523 to 796 of the family's 1533-position model. The record is from RNAcentral.